CCUACGGGAGGCAGCAGUAAGGAAUAUUGGUCAAUGGAGGGAAAUCUGAACCAGCCAUUCCGCGCGAAGGAUGACGGCCCUCUGGGUUGUAAACUUCUUUAGUCUGGGAAGAAAAGUUUGCAUUUAUGCGAAUAUGACGGUACCAGAAGAAUAAGCACCG
This 160-nucleotide ribosomal RNA is filed under the name uncultured bacterium. RNAcentral's name for it is "partial 16S ribosomal RNA". It matches the Rfam family "Bacterial small subunit ribosomal RNA", at positions 338 to 495 of the family's 1533-position model. The record is from RNAcentral.